This 22340-nucleotide long non-coding RNA is filed under the name Salvia miltiorrhiza (redroot sage). RNAcentral describes it as "long non-coding RNA (SMIL_LNC005229)". Lineage: Eukaryota; Viridiplantae; Streptophyta; Magnoliopsida; Lamiales; Lamiaceae. The record is from RNAcentral.
AAAAUGGCUAUCGGCUUCUGCGAAGAGUACCUUAGCUUUCUCUUUGUGAAUCAUCACGUUCAGCGAUAACCUAACAUCCUUCUUCACAUCGUCAGACAUUCUGCNACGUAAUAUUAUUUAUAAUAUAAUACUAAUAUUAUAACUAUGCUAUUAUAUAUGUAACUAUUAUAAGUUAAAUGUAUAAUCUAUUGUAAACAAUAAUUUUAGGUUAUAUAUUAUAACUAUACUAUAAUAUCAAAAUAAACAAUUUUAUUUUAUUGUAUGACUUAUACUAUAUACUAUAUUUUAUUUAUUUUUGUAUCAUUUGAUGAUAUUUACAAAUUCAUGUACAAUUGUAUAUAUUCACAUAAUAUAGAUUAUAUACAUCAUUUUAUAAAAUUUAUAAAUAUUUUUAAAAUAUAGACAUAAAAAUAAAUAUUAGUAUAUAUUUUAAAACUAUAGAUUUUGAUACGAUAUAUACCGCGAUUUUCGGUAUAUCAAUAUAUACAGACAACUGCGGUAUAUCAGAAUAAGGUAUUGUACCUUAUUACCGGUAUAUACCGAAUAUUAAGGUAUACCAGAAUAAGGUAUGAUAUCCCAUCACCGUUAUAUGCAGUAAUAUUCGUUAUACCAGUAAUACGGUAUCAUACCGUAUUCCGGUAUAUACCUUUAAUACGGUAUUUAUUAAUUUUUUCGGUAUAUACCGCGGUAUCGGUAUACACCGGUAUACCCCGGUAUUUGGAAAAUCCAUACCUUUACCUUACCGUAAAUCUUCGGUACGGUAUCAUACCUUACCAAAAAAAUCGGUAUACCUUAAAUUCGGUAUUUUGCGGUAUUUUACGGUACGGUAUGGCCGGUAUACCGAGUUUUCGGUAUAUUUUUCCAACCCUACUCAGCCUUAUCCAUGUCUGCAAUGCCAACAAUGGUGAUGAUUCCUGAUAUUCCCAUCUCAUUCGGAAAGAUCUGCAGAUCGUCGGAGAUUAUGAAAGAAUCUUUAUGUAUAGCAAAUACUCCAUCACUGGAAGCAGCUUCAGAACUCUUCGGAACUAUUUUUUUCUUCAUCAAACAACCAUAUUUGAAGAAAUGCGAAAGUUCAUCAUAGUAAAUGCUCACACUACGAAAUUCAUUAUGAUUACUCUUGGUGCAGUAGAAGUAUUCUGCAGGCGGAGAAUCACUGAUAUCGAGUUUCAGCCCUUCGAUUUCAUCAUCAAAAGAGCUGAUUGGAUUGAGCAGAAUCUGCUUAGCACCAUCCGUCACAAAAUGGGAGCUAUCGAGAUUUGCUAAGCUACGGUACAAACUGCUUAAGCUUCCAAUGGCGGGAGCUUCAUCACCGUAGUGCUUCUCGAGAAUUUUGAAAAUUCUUCCCAAGGGGAAAGUCAAGAAGCUUAACAAAAUGUCAGCAAAAUGGUUAUCGGCUUCUGCAAAGAGUACCCUACUUCUCUCUUUAUUGAUCAUCACAUUCAACGAGAACGAGAACGUAAACUCCUCCUUAUCGUCAGACAUUCUGCUACAAAAAGAAGUGAGCAAGGGAUGAAAUUUUAGACAAAUAAAAUCAAGAUUUUCAUCCCUUUUAUGAGCAGAAAGUCCUACUAACAUCAAGAUUUUUCCUCCCUUUUUAUGAGAGAGAGAGUCCCACUAAAUUCAAAGAUCCACCGGUUCACUUCCUAUUAUAUUUUGUGAAUUUAUUAAAAUUAAAAUUAAAGGUCGCAUUAAAGGUGAGAAUAAAAAGUACAUGUUUUUCCCAUUUCAAAUUUGUUAAGUUCAGAUUACUACUAUUACUAUAUUUCAAAUGUUAGCGUUUCUGGUUUAUUAAUUUGCUGCUCGUAAAAAGGGGAGAAUGCAGAAGGCCGUCUUGGAAAUUAGAGAGACUAAUAACUCUUCGUUAACUUAAUUAUUCUCCAUUAAAAAGGGAGUGAAUGUAAAUCUUUUAAAUGUCUUCUUCAUCUCUAAUUUCUUCUCGUGCCACUGAUACUAGCAAAAUGUCUCGUGCUGGUAAGGAUAUUAAGUUUUCAAUGAAAGUUAUGGUGAACAAAAAGAAAGGGAAGGUUCUAUUCGCAGAAGUUGACGGCAGCUUUGCAGAUGUGUUGCUAAGCUUUCUCACAUUGCCACUCGGAACGAUCGUGAGAAUCUUGAAGAAGCACUACGGAGACGAUGCACCCGCCUUUGGAAGCUUGAGCACUCUCUACAACGGUUUGUCAAAUCUUGAUAGUAACCAUUUUUGGACAGAAGGUGCUAAGUCGAUUCUGCUGCAUCCACGAAGUUCAUCCGAUGCUCAAUGUAAAAGGCUAGCGCUCGAUAUUAGUGAUUCCCCAUCAUUUCAAUAUUUUAUUUGUCCGAAGGGAUGCUAUAAAGUUAAACUCCGUGGCGUAAGCAUGUAUUACAAUUUUGCUGGUAAAUGCAAGUUCUGCCAAAGUUAUCUUAUAAAAGUAGUAGAUAAUAAUGAUGCUCAAAUAGUUGCUUGCGAGGAUGGAGUUUUUACGAAGACGACAGUGUCGUUUCUGAUCACUGAUGAUCUGCAUAUAAUGCGUAAUGCGGGGCUCUGCAAAUCGUAGCGUGCUGGCUUACAGACAUGGAGAGGCUGAGAAUUACAUCACCUUUGGAUUCCAAUGUGAGUCUUGUUCCUAGCUAUUGAUUUUUUAGCUAUUUUUUGGUUAAUAUUGUUAUAGUUUUUGUUUUGAUUAUCAUGCUAUUAGGUUAUGGAUUUGCUCAAGGCGACCCUGACAUCCCCGACUCCAUUGUCUGAUCUAAUAUUCAAGAAAACAACAAAAAUGGGCUCUGCAAAAAGGAUUUAUGAAGACAAUAUAAAUUCAUCGAUUUCAAACUCCAAAACGAUGAAUGUAAAACUUAUGGUACAAAACUCCACAAACAAGUUGCUGUAUGCUGAAGCUGAGGAAGACUUUGUAGAAUUUCUAUUCAGUCUCCUCGUAAUCCCACUAGGAGGAGUCGAGUCCCUUUUGUCGCGUAACUCUAAUGUUAAGGCUAUAGACAGCUUGUACAGGAGCGCAGAUGAUCUUAUCCAUGACAAGUAUUUCAAGAAUCGUGGUGCAAAAUUUAGGCUAAUCGAGCCCAAUAUACCUCAUGGUUAUGUCUCCGAAAACCACAUUCUUCCCCUCAAUGAAGAAAGAUUGCCUACAAAUGUUGCCUACGCUGAUUACAGUUUGUUUCCUUCUACAAAGUUUCCCAAAGGCCAAGGGAGUUAUCUUGAAGGACCUCAAACUUAUAAGGUUGCAGAUGAUUUAACCGUGACACCUUUUUGCAUUGUCUCCAUUCUUUCCGGUCUCAAAAUGCAGAAAGUCCCAGUGUCUGAUCUCAAAGAAGUGGAGGUGCAAAUCGGAUUGAAAGAGGUAAUAUAAUGUGUGUAAGAUCAUGUUUUUUGUAUAAUUUUUUUUUUAUGUUUAGAGUGAUUUUGAUAAUUUGGUGCAGGCUUUGAGCAUACUGAAAGCAUCUCUUACAUCCACCACUGCUCUCUCUGACGCGCUGCUCAGUCAAAUAGUGAAGGAACCAUCAAAGAGAGAAUUUUGAUUACCUUUAUCCUUGAUUGGAAUUACUGUUUUCCAUGUUCUAAUAUGUGACAAUGUUGGCUUAUAUUAAUAGCCUUUGCAAAUUGUUUAUUAUCCUGAUUUUAUGGAAGCUAGUAGUUCAUGAUGUUAUAUUCUAUACAAAUUUAAAUCUAGCAAAUUAAGAAAUCAGUAACUUAUAAUGAAUUCUUUGUGGAGAUGAGGUUAUUCGAUUCAAACCACUUGAAAUUGUUGUAAAAAUUCCCCAUUUCUUUCGAAAUGCAAACACAAGAACUAAAUAUGUAAGCAUGGAGUAAUUUCUCUUUAGCUUCUUUCCCAUAAAAAAAGGUGUGAAUCUGCAAUUUCUUGCUUUUGCCACUGAUAUUAAGAACCUGCAGUUUCUAUUGUAGAAUUUGCUCGUAGAUUUAUUCUUAGCCAUAUGAAUUUGAAGCUGUUGAUUAAACUCAUGCAAAGUCGCGUUUUCAAUAUAAGGGUGAUCGCGUUUGUCAAAGGCGGAAGGACUAUUGUGCAAAUAACUUUUUCGGAGGGAUUUAGUUAUGCAAAUAGUCGUUUAUAUCGUGACCGUUGGAUUGAUCUUGACGGCCCAGAUUAAGGGAGUUCAGUGCAGUUAGUUAUAACUGAUUACACUGUUCAUUGUCUUCUUCAUAGCGUGAUUUCCCAGCUGGCUCUUCAGAGAUUGAGAGAAUUAUUGUGUGAGAGUUAUUCUGCCGAUUCAAAGAUUGUUUCACGGCAAUUUCUUUCUCUGCUAUAAUCUCUUGUAUUCAAAGUUUGAUUGAGCAAUAAGAUCAUCAUUUUCUUGUCCCGUGGAUGUAGGCAUAGUUUGCCGAACCACGUAAACUUUCUCGUGUUGAUUUCUUUCUUGUUUUUAUUUUAUCUUCGUCGAUUUACCCAACAGAAGCCUCUUUGUGUAUGUUCUUUACGGAUUUGUGCUUUUGUUCUUGAAAUCAGCAAUAAUUUUGCUUCUCUCUAGACUAGAAGUUCAUUACAAAUUUUUUAAAACUAGAAUUUACAAUCAGACCGUGAAUUACGUACGAGGAUAAAAUAGUUAGUAAAAUUAUUUUUAUAUGAAUAAUAUUUUUUAUUUUUAUUAUUUUAAUUUGAAUAUUUUAAAAGUACACUCUUUUCAUUUUAGUGGAAGGAGGUUAUUGUUACCUCAAACUUUAUUUACAGAUUACAAAGCCAGAUUCAAAACGAUUGAAUAUUAGCCAAAUGAUUGGGAUAUAUAUAUAUAGGAAUUGGUUCAAUUGAGAUUUAUAUAUUAUUUUGAGUAUUUUGAGAUAAAUGAACAUAUAAGUACUAUUUUGAUGAACUUGUCUAAUUAAUUUUUAUGUAACGCGNAUCAGAUUCAAAGUUCUCUCUUUGGUGUUUUUUGGGCAAAAGAGAGAGCAGAGCAUCGGAGAGAACCGUAGUCGAUGUAAGAGACGCUUUCAAUAUGUUCAAAAUCUGCACCAAUUAACAAAUUUUAUCUAAACACAAUAACCACUUUCAAAAUUUUAUUACCUCUUUCAAUCUCAUUUUCAGCUCCACUUCUUCCACAUCAGAUAUCAGGAUUCUCCGCUGUCUAAAACUGGAAAGGAGCGCGACAAAACAAUAGGGUUCGACACUUAAAUGAUCCUUAACUACGUACGACCGUGGUCCGUGGAGAUAAAGUCCCUUGCCUUUCGGAGACACGAGGUUUCUGGACACACUCCCAUGAGGCAGUGUAGGUAACUCGAGCCUAUUCUUAACACUUGCGCUCUUGAAAUGCUCGUCGCCUAUAAGAUCGACAGUGCUCCGGUGCAAGGGGAAGUCAAGAAGCUUAACAAAAUGUCAGCAAAAUGGUUAUCUGCUUCUGCAAAGAGUACUUUACUCUCUUUAUUAAUCAUCACACUCCUCCUUAUCGUCAGACAUUCUGCUACUAAAAGAAGUGUGCAAGGGAUGAAAUUUUAGACUAAUAAUAUCAAGAUCUUCCUCCCUUUUAUGGGAGAAAGAGAAAUCAACCAAGAGGCAAUAGUCAAGAUCCACCGGUUCAAUUCCUAUUCUACUUUGUGAAUUUAUAAAUAAAAAUAAAAAUUUAAUAAAAUUCAAAGGUGGCAUUAAAGGUGAGAGUAAAAAGUAGUUAGUAUGUUUUUCCCAUUAUAAAUUUGUUACGUGUGAUUAUCUUCAAACCUUUUUGAAGUUGCAGCAUAUUACUACUUAAUUACUAGUAUUUCAAAUUUUGGGUUUUUGAAAAUUGUUGCGACCAUUAACUCUGGGUUUAUUAAUUUGCUGCUCGUAAAAAGGGGAGAAUGCAGAAGGCCGUCUUGGAAAUUAGAGAGACUAAUAACUCUUCGUUAACUUAAUUAUUCUCCAUUAAAAAGGGAGUGAAUGUAAAUCNUAUAUAUAUAUAUAUAUAUAUAUUAGCCAAAACGUUUGAUCAGAUAAGAAGGGCAAGCCAGAUUCAAAACGAGCAAAACAAAUCUACAGCAAGUUUGCUUAGAAAAAGUAAAAUCCAAACUGAAGCAAUUAAUUAAGCCAACAAAAUUAAGGUGCAGAAAAACAAUAUUGGGCACAAUGGAUCAGAUUCAAAGUUCUCUCUUUGGUUGUUUUUUGGGCAAAAGAGAGAGCAGAGCAUCGGAGAGAACCGUAGUCGAUGUAAGAGACGCUUUCAAUAUGUUCAAAAUCUGCACCAAUUAACAAAUUUUAUCUAAACACAAUAACCACUUUCAAAAUUUUAUUACCUCUUUCAAUCUCAUUUUCAGCUCCACUUCUUCCACAUCAGAUAUCAGGAUUCUCCGCUGUCUAAAACUGGAAAGGAGCGCGACAAAACAAUAGGGUUCGACACUUAAAUCAUCCUUAACUACGUAGGACCGUGGUCCGUGGAGAUAAAGUCCCUUGCCUUUCAGAUACAAGAGGUUUCUGGACACACUCCCAUGAGGCAGUGUAGGUACCUUGAGCCUAUUCUUAACACUUGCGCUCUUGAAAUGCUCGUCGCCUAUAAGAUCGACAGUGCUCCGGUGCAAGUUAUUUAUAGCCUUAAAACGCGUAUCGUCGGCCAGAAGGUGCUCAACUCUUCCAAGUGGGAUGCUGAGGAGAUCAAAUAGAAACUCUACAAAUAUUUCGUCAGUUUGAGCACACAACAACUUGCCUGUAGAUUUUUGUAUCAUCACUUUCAAUGGGAUAUGCCCUGUUUUGCAAUUGUCUUCCUUCUGUGGAGAUCCCACAACUGGUGUGUUGUUCACCUGUGCUGUAGUUUUAUUGAGGAUGAUGUCCGACAGCGGAGUUGGGGACGUCAAGGAUGCCUUCAACAACUUCAUAAUCUAACAACAAUAAAAACAGAAUUAAAACAAAUAAUUUAGAGGGUGUUUAGCUAAGCUUAUAAGCUAUUCAAAACAACUUAUAAACUGUCCUUCAAAGUGUUUGAAAAAAUAAAUUCUUAUACAGCUUAUAGACUCUAAAAAAAAGCUUCAAUAAGCUUAUAACAGCAUCUUUAACGAGACUCGUGGAUUGGGCGAGCGUGAGCCACCUGUCAUUGCCGUGCUGAGGGAGCGAAGCGAGCUCGCAUGUGCGCGCCCGGUGCGGAGAUAAGAGCAAAAGUCGCGUGAGGGCAACGCUCACACUGUGUCUAUUUUUAAUUAGUUAAUUACUACUAUGUUUAUGGGUAAAUUGCCGCGCAAAAUACAUAAAGUUUAGACGGAUUUUGAUUUUGCUCGCAAUCUUUAAAAUUUGAAAUAAAAUACACCAAAUUUUAUUUUUUUUUCUGAAAAAUAGGCUUUGAUAUAGAUAGAAUUACCCGUGUAAGAGAUGUUUAAUUCGAGCUUCUUUUAGUCUUUAUGAAGGAUUUAAUUGGACUCUCAGGAAACUAGAUUUUGGUUUUGAAUAAUGACAGAAUUUGACGAAAAAAUGGGUUUUUUUGGGUCCAUGAAUAAAUAAUUUUAAAGACCAUUUGGCAGGGGAUUCGAACUUAACAAAUAUAUACAAAAUAGAAUUAAUUUAAAAUUUUCGAUUUAAAAAAAAUAAAAAAAAAAUAGCUAGUUUUAAAAUUUUGUUCACAUUGUAGCUGUCUUUAUUUUUAAUUAACUAAAUUAAUCCUUUUUUAUUUUGAGCCAAAAUUUUUAAAUUAAUCGAUUUUUAUAUAUUUGACCAUUUUAUAUAUGAACAUAUUAUGUCCAAAUAGCAAUCUUGAUACCUUUAACCUCAAACAUUAAUUAUAUUCUACUAUUAGAUCAAUACACAUAUAAACUAAUUAGUGCAGUGACGACUUCUGUAUCAAAUUCAAGUUUAAAUAUUUUCGUUAUUAGACCUCACCUUUAUGUUUAUUUUCUGUUGAGGUAUAUAUCAUGUAUAUUAUGGAAUUAUUUUUUAGCUCAAGAUUUUUUUUGAGGAGGAGAUUGGAAUAUUUUACAAGACCGUGUCACGGUGUACUCGAACUUGAGCCUAAAUGCCUCAAACGUUAACUACUUUACCGCUAAAUCAGCACACGCAUGCAAGAAAUUUUAUUGUAUUCUUAUUGAUGCAGCAUACAUAUAUGAACAUCUUUUCGGCAUAGUGAAGAUCUACCUUUACUUACAUAAUAAUUGAAGUUUUCAGAUUUAGUGAGACAAUGUACUUGUUCUUGAUCUAAAUAUCGUCAAUCGGAAUUUUCUUGAUUUGUAGGACCUCGAGAAUGGAUGAUGCUAAAGAUGCAGAGUUCUCAUUGAAAGUGAUGAUAAAUAAAAAGAAAACUAAGGUACUCUUUGUAGAAGCUGACAGCCAUUUCGCAGACAUUUUGUUAAGCUUCUUGACUUUGCCGUUGGGAAGAAUUAUCAAAGUCCUUGAGAAGCACUAUGGAGACGAGGCACCUACCAUUGGUAGCUUAAGCAGUUUGUACCAUAGCUUAGUGGAUCUUGAUAUCACCUGUUUCUGGACAGAGGGUGCCAAGCAGACUCUGCUCAAUCCUGCAAGUUCAUUCAAUGAUGAAAACGCAAGGCUGAAACUCAAUUACAACGAUUAUCACCCCGCUAAAUAUUUCACGUGUACAAAUCCCCCUCCUCAUAGACGUAUCCGUAGUGUAAGCAUGUACCAUGAUAGUGCCCCUAUGUGCCUACGAUGCAGAUAUAGACAUGAGAUGAUAAUAGAGCAAGAUGAAAAAGAGUGUCAAUUUGCUUCUGAAGAUGGAGUUUUCACCAUAAAUACAACACCUUUCAUAAUUUCUGAUGAUCUGCAGAUAUUUCCAAAUAAGAUAGGACUCUUAGGAAUCAUCAGCAUUCUUGGCCUUACAGAUGCGGAUAAGGCUCAGCCAAUCAAAGUGACUUUUGGAUUCAGUGAGGUGAAACAUCAACAUUUUUAAUUUUUUCUUUACAAUUUUUGUUUUCACUUAUUCCUCCUCUAUUGUUAGAUUAUGAGUUUGUUGAAGGCGUCAUUGAUCUCCCAAACUCCAUUCUCGGACCUCUUACUGAGUAAAGCAAGACAUGUGAACUCUGUAGCUGUGGGAUCUGAACCCGAGACCUCAUUAAAUCAGAUCAAGAAUGAGGACAAUCCCGACUCCAAGAAGAUAGUUUUGAAAGUCAUGGUACAAAAGUCUUGUGGUAAGUUAUUGUAUGCUCAAGCUGAGGAAGAUUUUGUCGAGUUUCUGUUUAGUUUGUUCAAUAUCCCACUGGGAGGAGCUGAGCACCUUUUGGCCGGCAAGACUUGUAUUAAGGCUAUAGACAACUUGUACCGGAGCACAGCUGUGGUUAUCGAUGACAAGUAUUUCAAGACACCAGAUACGAGAAAUAGGCUAACCAAACCCAAUGUGGUUCAUGGUUGUAUUUCCGAUGACAACAUUCUUCUCCUCACUGAAGAGUGCUUACCUGAUAACUAUAGUGAUAUCUCAUGGUCUUCUUCUGCUAAGUUUCCUAAUGGCAAGGGGAGUUAUCUUAAAACACCGCAAACUUAUCAUGUGACAGACGAUUUAACUGUGACACCUUUAUCUAUUGUCUCGAUCCUUUCUACCCUCAAUAAGCAGGAAAUCCCCAUAUCUGAUGUCAAAGAAGUGGAGCUGCAAAUCGGGCUGAAAGAGGUAAUGUACUAAUAUGAAAUCUUUUGAGUUAGAUGUUUUUCUGUAUAUGUUUAGAUGUUGAGACAAAGUUUGUUGGUGCAGGGUUUGAACAUACUGAAAGCCUCUCUUACAUCCACUACUGCUCUCACUGAUGCUCUGCUCGAUCAAAUAUCGAUCAAACAACCGAAGCAAGAACUCUUAGUUUGAUCACAAGAUUUCAAUCAUUUUACCGCCUAUGUAAGUAAUCUUGUUUGCUUGUAUUUAUAGCUGCAGUUCUUGAUUUAGGACAGGGAAAUCUCUUCACUAUCUGAACUUAAAUCAUUUUAUUGAGGGUUCUGUUUUUUCUGAUAUAUUUUAUCUACUUGUAUUGUGAUCAUUCCAGUCUUGAGCAAAAAAUGGAGAGCAAUUGGUUGCAGCUACAUUUGCACAUUACAAACUAAAACAAGAUACAAUCAAAUAAAACACAAGAUCAUCAAUUUUAGAGGUGAAUAAUCAAGUAACUUGAAGAACAAAAACAUCAAAAUGACUAGAAAAUAAAGCACCGUAGCUAUCAAUUACAAGUUCAAACUAUUUACAUAUAGGAGCAGAACUCAUAGUCCUCGGCUCAUGAGAAUCAAGAACUACACUUGCUUUAUUUAGUAUGAGGUUUGACAAUGGAGUUGGGGAAGUGAAGGAAUCCUUCUGCAAACUCAACAUCUAAUCACAAUAUGUAAGUACAAUUUGUAAGCAAAAAAAAACAGAAAAAAAAGGAAUGAAACUGUAGAUAGAAUCACAUAGAAUCAAGAAUCACCUCAUUCAACCCAAUCGUCACUUUCAUCGCCUCAGCCUCAACCUCAACCUCAACCACAUCCGCAUCUGUAAUAUCUGCAGAUCAUCAGAGAUUAUGAAAGAGGGUGCUCUGUAAAUGAUGAAAUCUCCAUCUUUCUAAGCAGCUUGAGAAACUUUUCCAGCUACUUCUUUCUUCAUAAAAUGUCUUCUGCAUUUCUUGCAACGACCGGCAAGAUCAUAGUGCAUGCUUACAUUGAAGUGUAUUGUUACAUUGUUGAAUAUUGUUUAAGAAUAUUUUAUAUUUCCUUUAGAUUUUAAAAUUGAAUUUUUUGUUUUAAAUUGCAAAAUAUUUGCUAACAUACUGCAGACAGAGCAUCAAGGAAUUUAUUGGUUUGGUGAGUAAGAGAUGACUAUUUUUUUUUUUUUUGUAAAAUUUACUUUUGACGGUAUAAAAUUCGAUAUUAUGCUUAAUCAUGCACAAAUAAACUCGAAACAAACGAGAUAGUAUUUGCAUAUAGAAAAAAGAUUCAAACAAAUGGAAAAUCAAGAUACAUAACUUAAAAUAACAAUGAAGCACAAUAACUAUUAAUAUAACAUAUAAGCCAAUAUCACACUUCUCUCUUUGGCUGUUUAAUUGAUUUGCCACUCAGAAGAGCAUCAGUGAGAGCAGUAGUAGAAGUAAGAGAGGCUUCCAGUAUGCUGCAAGCCUGCACCAACAAAAUUUGUUUCAACAUCUAAACAUACAGAAAUAUAGCAUCCAAGAUUUUAAAUGAAAGUUUACCUCUUUCAGCCCUAUUUGCAUCUCCACUUCUUUGACAUCAGAUAUCGAGAUUUUCUGCUCUUUAAGAGAGGAAAGUGUCGAGGCAAUGCAAAAAGGGGUAACGGUUAAAUCAUCCGCAACAUGAUAAGUUGGGGAUCCUUUAAGAUAACUUCCCUUCCCAUUGGGAAACUUAACACUAGAAAACUGGCUUCUAUCAUUGUAAUCAGCAGGCAAUCUUUCUUCAAUGAGAGGGAAAAUGCAGCCUUCCGAAAUAUAGCCAUGAGGAAGCUUGGGUUUCAUUAGCUUCAUUUUUGUAUCCGGGGUAAUGAAAUGCCUGCUAUCUAUAAGGUCGGAUGUGCUCUGGUACAAGUUGUCUAUAGCCUUAACACAAGUGUUACCGGCAAGAAGAUGCUCAACUCCUCCCAAUGGGAUGUAGAGGAAACUAAAGAGAAACUCCACAAACUGUUUCUUAGCUUGAGCAUACAAAAACUUACCAGUAGAUUGUUGUAUCAUCACUUUCAAACUUAAAUUCCCAGAGUUAUUGGGAUUCUCUUCGUUUCCAGUGUGAGGUUGAGACACCAUAUAGUAAAUCUGAGUUGUUUUACUUAGGAUGAUGUCCGAUAAUGGAGUUGGGGACGUCAAGGAUGCCUUCAACAAAUUCAUAAUCUAACAGAAAUAGGGAUAACAACUAAGGUAAUUAAAGAAAAAUAAGGGAGGAAGAUUGAGAUUAUGGAAACAAGAAUAACCUCACUGAAGCCCAAAUCCACCUUGAUUUGCUCGGCGUUAUCCAUGUCUGUAAUGCCAAGAAAGCUAAUGGUUCCUAAGAGUCCUGUCUCAUUUGGAAAUAUGUGGAGAUCAUCAGAGAUUAUGAAAGAUGAUGUAUUCAUGGUGAAAACUCCAUCUCUAGAUGCAGCAGCUUCAGAUCCUUUGUUAACUACUUCUAUUUUCAUAACACCUUCACAUGGGUAAGAUUUGCAUUCCUUAACAUGAUCAUAGUAGAUGCUUACGCUACGAAAUCUAUAAGACUGAUAGUGAUAGAUACAAUAGAAAUAUUCAGCAGGCUGAAAAUCAGUGAUGUCGAGUUUCAGCCCUAUGUAUUCAGCUUCGGAUGAACUUGUUGGAUCGAGCAGAGUCUUCUUAGCCCCAUCAGACCAGAAAUGGGCACUGUCGAGAUUUACUAAGCUACGGUACAAACUGCUUAAGCUUCCAAUGGUAGGCGCCUCGUCGUCUCCAUAGUGCUUCUUGAGGACUUUCACAAUUCUUCCCAACGGCAAACUCAAGAAGCUUAACAAAAUGUCUGCAAAAUGGCUGUCAGCUUCUGCGAAAAAUACCUUAGUUCUCUCUUUAUUGAUCAUCACUUUCAAUGAGAACUCUGCAUCUUUAGCAUCAUCCAUUCUCGAGGUCCUACAAAUCAAGAAAAUUCCGAUUGACGAUAUUUAGAUCAAGCACAAGUACAUUGUCUCACUAAAUCUGAAAACUUCAAUUAUUAUGCAAGUAAAGGUAGAUCUUCACUAUGCCGAAAAGAUGUUCAUAUAUGUCUGUUGCAUCAAUAAGAAUACAAUAAAAUUUCUUGCAUGCGUGUGCUGAUUUAGCGGUAAAGUAGUUAACGUUUGAGGCAUUUAGGCUCAAGUUCGAGUACACCGUGACACGGUCUUGUAAAAUAUUCCAAUCUCCUCCCCAAAAAAAAUCUUGAGCUAAAAAAUAAUUCCAUAAUAUACAUGAUAUACCUCAACAGAAAAUAAACAUAAAGGUGAGGUCUAAUAACUAAAAUAUUUAAACUUGAAUUUGAUACAGAAGUCGUCACUGCACUAAUUAGUUUAUAUGUGUAUUGAUCUAAUAGUAGAAUAUAAUUAAUGUUUGAGGUUAAAGGUAUCAAGAUUGCUAUUUGGACAUAAUAUGUUCAUAUAUAAAAUGGUCAAAUAUAUAAAACUAGUAAGGCGCCCGUCGAAAUUCGACGGGUAUAUUUUAUUAUAAUAUAAUAUAAUAUAAUUAUUUAAUAUAAUUUUUUGUUCAUAAAUUUCAUUUCAAUAAAAUAAAGUAUUGAAUAAAAUAAUUUUAAAAUAAAAAAUAAAUUUUCUGGAUUAGAUGCAUUAAUAUUCAUUAUGUCAGAGUAUAUGUUUUCCACUAUAAUUACAAUAGGAUUUGUUGCAUCCCGUAUAAGAAUAUCUUCUGACAAUGUCACAUUAAAUUCUUCAUCACUAAUACUUUAAAAAACAGCACUGUCACCUACUUUAAGUAUCCAUUCUAUGAAUUCUUUGUUUCUUCUGCAUUCAAACCAGAAACAUUUGUCUGAUUUAUUAUGAAAAAAAUUAUGUAUAAUAUCAAAGCAGUAUUUGUGCGUCAUUGACGCCUCAUCUCAAAUAAUAAGCUUUGUCUUUUCGAGAAACCCAGUUAAAUCGCUAUCUAAGCUAAUCUUGUUGCAUGUGAUGUUUUCGUGGCAGUCUAAUGAUACCCAAAAUAUAUAUAGAGUGUACUUCGUCAUAGCCUUUUUUUUAUUAUAAUUGUAGAUAAUCACUAUCUUAAUCAACUUCUGAAAGUUUUCAAAAAAAUAAUAAUUCAACUUCAGAAAGAUCUUCAUUGUGGAAAUUUUAGUUACACCCGAAAUAAAAUUUAAAUUGUGAGCAAAAUUUUAUAAAGUUAGCUUAGCUGAAUAUUAGUAUAUGAAUAUCAUCUGAGGGCAUUUCAUAGUUGGUAUUUCUAAUUAAAUCCUUGCAUUCGACUGCGAAGACUACUUUCUGUAGGUGCAUCUGUGCUAUUAUCUGAUGAGAAUAUUAGUAUAUGAAUAUUGUAACUCAUGAAUGUUAUACAUAAAAUUCAUGCAUUUUUGCUGGUUCGUAAUUAUUAAAAUAAGGGUGGUUUAUUCAAUAAACGCCACAUAUAUAUAUAAACUAUAGAUAUAAAAUAUUUGGAGAUAAUGUGUCAUUAUUGUAACAAUUGUUUUAGACUUAUUUUAUACUUUUAAAAGUGGAAUGUAAUUAUAUAAACGAUGCUUUCUUAUAUAUGAUAAUUUAGAUAUAGAUUUUGUAAAAAUCAGAAAUAAAUUCAAACAAUAUUAUAAAUAUAUAUCUAUGUCAAGAUCAAAUCGUAGAUAAUUUUAAAUAAUAUUGGUUAUAGCCUUAUAGGUAUCACGAUUGCCUAAUUGAUCGCUUAUUCAUAUCAUAAAUAUUUAUCUAUUUUCAUAAAUAGUGAUAACAAUAAUAUAUUAUUAUAUUUAUCAUAUCAUUAUAUAUAAAUAUAUAUAGAUUUUAUAAUUAGUAGAGUUUAAUUUGAGGUCGAAUUCUAGAUUAAAGAUUUAGAAGAAAAAUAAGAAUAAAUGAGAAUUGAGGAAAAUUAGAAUAAAGUGAUUAUACGCCGCCACGUAGGAUAUGAUUUAUUUUGCUUUUAUAUAUAUAUAGAAUCGAUUAAUUUAAAAAUUUUGGCUACAAAAAUAAAAAAGGAUUUAGUUAAAUUAAAAAUAAAGACAGCUACAAUGUGAACAAAAUUUUAAAACUAGCUUUAUUUUUUUUUAAAUCGAAAAUUUAAUAUUAAUUUUAUUUUGUAUAUAUUUGUUAAGUUCGAAUCCCCUGNAUAUAUACACAUAUAAACAUAUAAUUCAUUAUGGAAUUAUAAACGUGGGUUAUGCAAUUUUUCUUUUUAAACGUGGGGUGGUGUGCAUUUUUUAAAAAUUAUGGGUUAUGCAAUUUUAAUUGAGUUAGUUACUUAAUUUUUGAAUAUAUACAAUAAGUCAUUAUUUUUGUAAGAAAUCACAAAAUUGCCAUCUAAAUCAAUUUGAAAUCAAUUUCUAAUUGAAAACUGCUGUUUUAAUAUAGUAUAGAUGUUAAAUUUGAGUCAAUUCUAAAGGUAAAAGUAAAAUUACUAAUUACUAACAAUGAAAAUUAGUUUAUUUGUUUAGAAGAUGAAACAAUUUUUUUUUAAGAAAAAUGAAUAAAAGUACGUUUUUAUAUGCUUUCAAUCUACUUGAUGUUGAAUUAAUUGAAUUGCGAACAAUUAUCUUAUUAUAUUAAGUGAUUGUUGAAAAAAUGUAUGAAAUGAAGUGUACGGAAUGCUCAAAAAAUUUUGCUUCGGGGGCGCCGUAGUCCAAUAGAUUCAGCCCCCCCUAACAUUGAAUCCUGGAUCCGCCCCUGGACAUGAUCAUAGUAGAUGCUUAGGCUACGAAACCUAUUAGGCUGAGUGUGACGCCGAACGUAUGAAUAUUUACAAUAGAAACAUUCAGCAGGCUGAAAAUCAGUGAUGUCGAGUUUCAGCCUCCCGUAUUCAUCUUCGAAUGAACUUGUUGGAUCAAGCAGAGUCUGCUUAGCUCCAUCAGUCCAGAAAUAGGCACUGUCGAGAUUUGCUAAGCUACGGUACAAACUGCUUAAGCUACCAACGGAAGGCGGCUCGUCUCCAUAGUGGUGGUCGAGGAUUUUGACAAUUCUUCCCAACGGCAAAGUCAAGAAGCUUAACAAAAUGUCUGCAAAAUGGCUGUCGGAGUCUGCAAAGAAUACCUUAGUUCUCUCUUUAUUGAUCAUCACUUUCAACGAAAAUGUAGCACCCUUUUUAUCAUCAGCCAUUCUUGAAAUAUAUAUGUGGUACAAACAAAGAAAUAUUUGAAUAAUGUAAUCGGAAGACUUCAGCAAUCCCUGCAAUUUUAUGGGGGAAGAAGUUAACCAAGCGCCACUAGUCCCACCAAAUUCCAAGACCCAUCGGAUUGUAUUUUAUUAACUUCCCUAUUUUAUUUAAUCCAAAAAAAAUCGAUUUUAUUUAAGAUUGGAAAAGUGAGGUAGAAGUACCUCUUCCAACUAAAUUGCCGAUUUAGUGUCAAUGUAGAACACAUGCAGUUUAAAUUUAAAUAAGUUUCAUUUUAAAUAUAGGUUUAUAAAUUUGAUGCAUGCAUGUGAUCGACAGUUUCAUAUUUUUUUAAAUGAAACAAUUUCAUAAAUAUUAGGAGAUCAAAUGCAUCCCAUCUGGCUGCUCAAUUCCAAGUUAGUUACUGACGUUUAAUUUGAUUUUGUAUCUCAUAAAGAGAGUGAAUGCAGAGAGUCUUGGAAUUUGGUGGGACUAAUGACUCUUNUCAUUUUAGAUAUAGGUUUACAAAUUUGAUGCAUGCAUGUGAUAACAAUUUCAUAAUUUUUUUUUUGAAACAAUUUCAUAAAUAUUAGGAGAUCAAAUGCAUCCCAUAUGUAGCUGCUCAGUUCCAAGUUAGCUACUGACGUUUAAUUUGAUUCUGUAUCUCAUAAAGAGAGUGAAUGCAGAGAGUCUUGGAAUUUGGUGGGACUAUUAUGACUCUUAGGUUGACUUCUUCCCCAUAAAAAAGGGAGGGUUUGGUGAAAACCAUCGAUUACAUUAUUAUCUCAAGAAUGUCUGAAGUUGAGAAGGAUGUCAAGUUGUCAUUGAAAGUGAUGAUAAACAAAGAGAGAAAUGAGGUACUCUUUGCAGAAGCCGACAACCAUUUCACAGACAUUUUGCUAAGCUUCUUGAGUUUGCCGUUGGGAAGAAUUUUCAAAGUCUUCAAGAAGCACUAUGGCGAUGAGCUUUCUACCAUUGGAAGCUUAAGUAGUUUGUACCAUAGCUUAACAAAUCUUGAUAGCGCCCAUUUUGUGACGGAUGGUGCUAAGCAGACUCUGCUCAGUCCAGCCAGUUUAUUUGAAGAUGAAUACAAAAGGCUGAAACUCGAUAUCACUGAUUCUCCGCCUGCUGAAUAUUUCUAUUGUUCAGGCCGUGCCCCUCAUGGUAGAUUACAUAUUGUAAGCAUGUACUAUGACUCUGUUGAGCGUUGCAUACUUUGCCAUCGUACGAUGAAAAAAGCAGUAGCUAAGAAAGGGUCUGAAGCAGAUUCUUCUAGUGAUGGAGUGUUGACUAUACGUAAAGCAUCUUUCACAAUCUCUGAUGAUCUUCAUAUAUUUCCAAAUGAGAUUGGACUCCUACCAAUCAUCACCCUUCUCGGCAUUACAGAUGCGCAUAAGGCUGAGGAAAUCAAAGUGGAUCUUGGCUUCAAUGAGGUGAUUUCUUGAUUCUCUUUAAAUUAAAUCUCAAUCUUUGUUAUAACUAGUUAUAUAAUUAUUAAUUAAUUAAUUUGUGUAUGUAUUGUUGUUAGAUUAUGAAAUUGUUGAAGGCAUGCAUGACGUCCCCAACUCCAUUGUCGGACGUCAUCCUGAAUAAAACAACACACUUGAAGUCUGCAGAGGUUCCAUUGCACGAGAUGGUAGUAAAGGAAGAAAACACCAACACUAUGAGUUUGAAAGUUACCAUACAAAAAUCGACAGGUAAGUUGCUGUAUGCUCAAGCUAAAGAAGAUUUUAUCGAGUUUCUAUUUGGUUUCUUCAACAUCCCACUAGGAGGAGUUGGGCAUCUUCUGGCUGGCAAGACUCGUGUGAAGGCUAUAAACAACUUGUAUCUGAGCACAGAUGACCAUGUAAACGACGAGUAUUUCAAAACCUCGGUUAUGAAAAGAAGGCUAUUGGAACCCAAUGUGGUUCAUGGAUGCAUUUCUGAAAACAACAUUCUUCGCCUUACUGAAGAACCUUUGCCUGUUGACUACACACGCUAUAACGACUAUUUUUCUUCAGUGAAGUUUCCCAAAGGGAAAGGGAGGUGUCUUGAGCGACCAGCAACUUAUAAGGUGACAGAUGAUUUAACUGUGACCCCUUUUUGCACUGUCUCCAUUCUUUCCACUCUCAAUAGCUUGAAAAUCCCAAUAACUGAUGUCCAAGAAAUGGAGCUGCAAAUCGGAUUGAAAGAGGUAUAUAAUACAAUUUUAAAUAUGUGAUUAUGUUUUGUAGCAUGUGUUGAGAUGAAGUUUGUUGGUGCAGGGCUUGAGCAUACUGAAAGCUUCUCUUACAUCCACUUCUGCUCUCACAGAUUCUCUCCUCAGUCAUAAAUCGAGCAAGAAACCGAAGAAAGAACUCUCAGGCUGAUCCUUGGUUGCAACUAUUACAAAUAGUAUUAAUUAGCAACUAUGGUGCUUAUGUUUGUUUUUUGUUUCUGUAGAAAGCAUACUCUUGAAAGUUAUACAACUAAAAUCGAACUGUCAAAUGGAAUUUUUCCAAUUUAAAAUGUCGAAAAAUUCAUUGACAAUGCUACCUCGCUAACAAAAUCAGAGCAAUCCACAACUAAAAAUAACUACUGAAACUUGAAAUAGUUUACACUAUAAGAUUUUCUUUUUCAUUUCUUGGAAUCCCACACCAUGUCCUACUAUCAAAACUAUCUGACAUUUAAAAAAAAAUCAUGUUUAUAUUCCAAAAAUUAUUAUUUCUCACACCCGAAGAUGACGUGGCAUAUCUGAUGUGGCCUAAAUAUUUGAAAGCUAUAGUGAAUAAAGAGAAUCUUGAAGAAGCAAUAUCUGAUUUGAAUCUCUGAAUAUCUAGUUGUCAUGUUUUCUGGUUAUUAUCUAUUUUUUGCUAUUCUCGUUUUAUGUUUUGUGGUAUAUGCAUAUUAAGAGCAUCCCUUACAUCUGAUUAUGAUUCUGCUUGGCAUUAUCAUAAAAUAUGAUGCACAAAAAAUCUCUCUUUUGUAAGAUCAAUUUUCAUUUGAUUGGAUAUUUAGAGGGUGUUUGGCUAAGCUUAUUUUAAAGAGCUUAUAAGCUCUUGGAGCUUAUAAGAUGUUUCAAGAGCUUAUAAGAUGUAGUUUUCUAAGAACUUAUAAGUUGUCAAAGUGUUUGGAUAAUUGAGCUUAUAAGCUAGAGAGAGAAUUUUUUUCUAGAGAGAGAAAAUAUUUUUCUAGAGAGAGAAAAUCGAAGAGAAAUGAACUUAAAUGAUAUAUGAUGAAAAUAAUAAAUUAUAGUUGAAAAAUAUUUGUAAAAUAAUUAUUACAUAUGAGAUUAUAAAAAAAUAAGUUGGGGUAGAGGAACUUAUUUAUUUGGGAAGCUUAUAAGUUCUUGGAGCUUAUUUUUGGAACUUAUAAGUUAUUUAUGAGCUUAUUUUAUCAAAUACUUUGAAAGAGCUUAUAAGCUCCUAAACAGUUCAUAAGCUGUUUUGAAGAGCUUAUAGGCUAAGAGCUUAUAAGCUCAGCCAAACACCCUCUUAGUCUAGUUCUUGUAUUGUGAGCAUUCAGUAUGAAAUAGUGAUUAAAUUAUGAAAUUACAUUGUGAAACGAACAAUUUGAGCAUACAAAAAGUGAAAUAGUUUUAAAAUGAUGACUGGAAAAACAAGAACCAUAGUUAAAACAACAUAAAAGCACAAUGCAAAGCUAUGAAUUUAAGCCAACAAUGUCACAUUUAUGAGCAGCAAAACAAGAUCUAAAAGCAUGGAUCACACUCAGACUUCUCUCUUUGGUUGUUUGAUUGAUAUGUGACUCAAUAGAGCAUCAGAAAGAGCAGAAGUGGAUGUAAGAGAGGCUUUCAGUAUGCCCAAAGCCUGCACAAAAGAAAGCAAUCUCAACAUGUAAACAUAUGCUCAAAAAUAUAGUACCAACAGAUAUUUACCUCUUUCAACCCGAUUUCAAGCUCCACUUCUUUGACAUCAGAUAUCGAGAUUUUCUGCUCUUUGAGAGAGGAAAACAUGGAGACAAUACAUAAAGGUGUAACAGUUAAAUCAUCCGCCACGUGAUAAAUUUGAGGCCCCGUAAGAUAACUUCCCUUGCCAUUGGGAAACUUAAUAGAAGAAAACCAAUUUAUAUUAUCAAUGUAGACAGCAGGCAAGCAUUCUUCAGUGAGGGGGAAAAUGUAGUUUCCAGAAAUACAACCAUGAACCAGAUUGGGUUUCAUUAGCCUGUUUUUCGUAUCCGGGCUCUUGGGAUACUUGUCAAUAAGAUCAGCUGAGCUCCGAUACAAGUUGUCUAUAGCCUUAAUACAAGUCUUGCCGGCCACAACGUGCUCAGCUCCACCUAGUGGAAUAUGAAGGAGACCAAAUAGAAACUCUAUAAACUCUUCCUUAGCUUGAGCAUACAAAAACUUACCACUAGAUUUCUGUAUCAUCACUUUCAAACUUAACUUCUUAAAGUUGGGAUUUUCUUCCAUUGCAACAUUCUGCAGUAGUGGUGGAGAUUCCAAGAUUGAAGUGUUGAUCUGUCUUGUUUUUUUUAGGAUGACAUCCGACAGUGGAGUUGGGGACGUCAAGGAUGUCAUCAACAAGUUCAUAAUCUAACAAAAAUACACACAAAAUCAAACAAGUAAUAAGAAAAGAAGCUGUGAGAAAGAUAGAGAAUCAAGAAUCACCUCAUUGAACCCUAAAUCCACAUUGAUGAGCUCAGCCUUAUCCAUGUCUGUAAUACCAAGAGAGACGACGAUACCUACAAUCCCCGUCUCGUUUGGCAGUAUCUGCAGAUCAUCAGAGAUUAUGAAUGAUGCUUUAUGUAUGGUGAAAACUCCAUCUCUAGAAGCAGCUUUAGGCCCUUUUUCAUCUAGUACUACUUUCUCCAACUUACGAUAACAGUUCCAAAUAGGGCAAACUGUAAUAGUAUCAUAGUAAAUGCUCACACUACGAAAUCUUUUAGAGUGAACGCUACAAGAAAAAUAUUGAGCAGGUUGAAAAUCAGUGAUAUCGAGUUUCAGCCCCGCGUACUUGUCUUCGAAUGAACUAGUUGGAUUGAGCAGAGCCUGCUUAGCACCCUCAGUCACAAAAUGGGAGCCAACUUCAAGAUUUGCUACGCUUCGGUACAAAUUGCUUAAGCUUCCAAUGGUGGGUGCCUCAACUGAUCCAUAGUGCUUCUCGAGGACUUUCACAAUUCUUCCCAACGGCAAAGUCAAGAAGCUCAACAAAAUGUCUACAAAAUGGCUGUCAGCUUGUGCAAAGAGUACCCUAGUUUUCUCUUUAUUUAUCAUCACUUUCAAUGAGAACUCUGCAUCUUUAGCAUCAUCCAUUCUCGAGGUCCUACAAAUCAAGAAAAUUCCGAUUGACGAUAUUUAGAUCAAGCACAAGUACAUUGUCUCACUAAAUCUGAAAACUUCAAUUAUUAUGCAAGUAAAGGUAGAUCUUCACUAUGCCGAAAAGAUGUUCAUAUAUGUCUGCUGCAUCAAUAAGACUACAAUAAAAUUUCUUGCAUGCGUGUGCUGAUUUAGCGGUAAAGUAGUUAACGUUUGAGGCAUUUAGGCUCAAGUUCGAGUACACCGUGACACGGUCUUGUAAAAUAUUCCAAUCUCCUCCUCAAAAAAAAUCUUGAGCUAAAAAAUAAUUCCAUAAUAUACAUGAUAUACCUCAACAGAAAAUAAACAUAAAGGUGAGGUCUAAUAACUAAAAUAUUUAAACUUGAAUUUGAUACAGAAGUCGUCACUGCACUAAUUAGUUUAUAUGUGUAUUGAUCUAAUAGUAGAAUAUAAUUAAUGUUUGAGGUUAAAGGUAUCAAGAUUGCUAUUUGGACAUAAUAUGUUCAUAUAUAAAAUGGUCAAAUAUAUAAAAAUCGAUCAAUUUAAAAAUUUUGGCUCAAAAUAAAAAAGGAUUAAUUUAGUUAAUUAAAAAUAAAGACAGCUACAAUGUGAACAAAAUUUUAAAACUAGCUAAUUUUUUUUUUUAUUUUUUUAAAUCGAAAAUUUUAAAUUAAUUCUAUUUUGUAUAUAUUUGUUAAGUUCGAAUCCCCUGCCAAAUGAUCUUUAAAAUUAUUUAUUCAUGGACCCAAAAAAACCCAUUUUUUCGUCAAAUUCUGUCAUUAUUCAAAACCAAAAUCUAGUUUCCUGAGAGUCCAAUUAAAUCCUUCAUAAAGACUAAAAGAAGCUCGAAUUAAACAUCUCUUACUCGGGUAAUUCUAUCUAUAUCAAAGCCUAUUUUUCAGAAAAAAUUAAAAUUUAGUGUAUUUUAUUUCAAAUUUUAAAGAUUGCGAGCAAAAUCAAAAUCCGUCUAAAUUUUAUGUAUUUUGCGGCAAUUUACGCAUAAACAUAGUAGUAAUUAACUAAUUAAUAAUCAAUUAAAAAUAGGCACAGUGUGAACAAGAGAUGAAUAAGUCAAGAAUUACCUGAUUUCCAAUCUAUAAAAUUGGGGAUUUUCAGAGAAAAAGACAGAUUUUCAAGUCAACCCAGAAGAAAACAUGUUGUUGGAUGAGGGUGGCUGAGCUCGCGGCGGAGGAAGGGUGGCUGCGACGGUGGUUUUGAGCGGCUAAAAGUGAAGAGAGGAGUGGAUAGAUGAGUGAGAGAGAAGCACUGGCAUUAUUUGGCUACUAAAGCAAAAUGGAGCGCAAACAGUUGAGCUAUGCCAUUGGCGAAUCUUUGCUUUUUCACUUUUUUUUUAACUUCUUUUUCUGUUUUUCAACUUUUUCUUUUCCAUGUUUUUGGUUUGUCGGUUUCACAAAAAGUACUAUUGCAUGACUUUAUUUGACGCAAUUGUAAUUUAAUAUGUUUGAACAAAAAAGUACUAGUUAAAUACUUUAACAAAUAUAUUUAUUUAAAACUUUUGAUUAAAAAAAUAGUUAUUUUUAUUAUUUUCUCCAUAUUUUA